This 3432-nucleotide long non-coding RNA is filed under the name Heterocephalus glaber (naked mole-rat). Its description in RNAcentral is "lncRNA (ENSHGLG00000038687.1)". Lineage: Eukaryota; Metazoa; Chordata; Mammalia; Rodentia; Bathyergidae. The record is from RNAcentral.
UCCCCAGCACUCCAGAGGCGUCUGCCUCAUUUACAUCUGAAGAUGCUGUUGCUCGGGUGACACGUGGCAUGGGGACCCCCUUCCCUCCAGCACUGGAGCGAGUGCCCCUUUCAGCAUAUUCGCUUUAAGCUCUGCAUUAAAUUCUCAAUUUGAACUUGAUCCCAGUUGUUGGGAGCAGCCAGUUUAGCGACGAGAGCCUUUGUUUGCCUCCCAAGCACAAAGAGCUCCUGAAAGGCACGUGGAAAGAUGAACCCCUUUUCAGGACGUGUCUGUUAAGAGUACGACUUUAUAACUGUAGGCCCACACCCGGCGCAGGCUCAAAUGCGUCUUUCUUGGCGAGACAUAUUGGAGACAUAUGGACCGAGCAAUGGAAAGAUCUACGGUGAUCCUCAAGCAGCCAGGGUGGGGGAAGAAGAAGCUCCGGCGUGAGGAGGUGGCGAGGAGCAACAGCAAGCUGUUCGGAUGUGAUGAGGUGAGCGAAGCGCAGGGCGCCCUCGGCUGGCUCUGCAGGGCCGGCCAAGGGGAGGGGCGGGACUGCGGAAGCUCAUCUGAUGUUUGCGGAAGCUCAUCUGAUGUUUGCGGCAGCUCAUCUGAUGUUUGCGGCAGCUCAUCUGAUGUUUGCGGCAGCUCUGCGGCCUGUUACCCGGCAGGAGGCGCCUGCAUCAGAGAGUGGAGCAGGGAAAGAAAAGUCCUGAACUUCUUUCAGCACUCACCAGCUGUUCCAGAUGUUGGGAUUACACAUGGAGGACCACAUUUUGAGCUAAAAAUAUGACCUCGUGCUUGCCAGACAGGAGCGGCACCGCUGAGCUAAAUCCCCAGCCCAAUAACAAGUACUUUAAAGCUUCCUCUCAACUUUUACAAGAUCAACUUUGAGAUCCCUCGUCCGAGUAAGAUCAUUUCCCUUUACAUAAUGAUCUCCAGUUCCAACACUGCUGUAAAGGACUGGAUUUCGUCCCUUCUUAAGGCUGAAUGUGUACAUCACAAUCUUCAUCCAUUCUUCAGUUGAUGAAUAGAUACUUCACUUCUUCUCAUUCCCAGCUUUUAACAGGGAUUCAAUCCUGCUGUGAAAUAGUCUACAGUCUAUCAUGAAGAAAUCAAAUAAUGGGAUUAAACUAAGUACAUCAGUCAGCAAUGGGAUGAUUUAUAUUAUGCCUGUUGUGCAGAUGAGGAAAUCCGAAGGCCCAAUCACACAACACCUCCCUUCUCCUUCUGUGUGCCUUCCUGUAUGACAACCAGUGAAGGACAAAAACUACACUUCUUGGGAGGAUUCUGUCCUCUGGACUGAAGCCUGAAAUCUCCCAGACAAAUUGGUCACAAUUCUCAUCGAUUCCCACGAAUGCAGAAACUAUCAAAAUUCAGAAGCACUGCAUCUCUGGAGAGGAGGGAGUUGCAGCAGGAGAAGCCAUGAGAUCUCUCUUUCUUUUUUAUUGUUUUGUUUUUCGAGAUCUCUCUUUCAUGCUUCCACUCUUCCACUGGGCAUCUCCAUGCUUCACUGUAGAGACCAUGAGGCAGUUUGGCACCGCCUGAAACAUGGGAGGGACAAGUGUUGCUUUCAUUCAGAAGCCCUAAGUCACUGAGCUCUUCUGUGUUCACCAAGAGGAAAAUGCACCUAUGUUUUUUUGAUAUCUCUGACAUGAAAUACAAAUCGUACCAAUUCAGCUUCCAUAUAAUAGUCCUUACAUUUUCUCAUUAUACUUUUCAAAAAUCACAUGUAAUCUCUUUCUGUCUUCUUACCUUGACUAUGUGUUCCUUGAGCAUAAGGACCAUGUCUUUGCAUCUUCAAAAAACUCUCUGUAGCACCUGGCAUUGUGUCUAGCCUAAAAGUAAGUUCAUAAAAAUUUCAGUUUUUCAAAUUUUGUGAGUAAAUAUCAGCAGUGAAAUGUGUAGUACAUAAAAGUCCUUUCACUCAAAGAUGUCUGAAAACACAUGCAUAAAAAUGGGUGAAUGAAUGAAAGAAUGAACAAGCGAAAGGUCUGGGAUGUCAAAGAGGUGAUUGUGUUGGUGACCAAUGAAGAAACCAAUGUCGAUAGUUUUCAGAAACAGUUCCUAGUAGCCCAGCCAGGGGCUUGUCCUCUGGCUUUAACUUUUUCUUGUUAAGAUCUAAUCAUAGGAAUCUGUGGUUAGCAGUAAAGAAUCCCCUUCUAUUCACUCACAUUCAUUUCAAAAAUAUUUAUGGAUUGCCUGUUACGUGUCAGGCACAGUUCUUGGCGCUAGAAGUAAGAAAAAGAUAGAGAACAAACAUCCUUCUUCUCAUUGAGUUUAUGUUGAUGUCUUGUUACUUUCCUCAUUUCUGGGACAAAAUACAUGAAUGACACCCACAGCUUAAAAAAAUGAGAGGUUUAUUUCUCUCAUGUUUCAGAAUUUCAGUCCUAGCAUGGUCCGCUGGCUCCAGGCAGAAGCAGCAUGGGGGAAGGUCCGCUCAGGACAAGAUGGACAGGAAGGAGCUGGAGGUGGGACACAGCCUUCCGGUCACAUCCCCAGGGACCUGUGUUUCUGAUCUUGCCCCUACCUCCCAACAAGUCGGCUACCAACCCUCAUCACCCCAUCACCUUCCAAGCACAUGAGGCUUGGGGGGGCAUUUUAGAUCUAAACCGUAGCAGUAGAGGUUUAAUUUGAGACCAAAAAUUAAUAGUAAAUUCAGUAAGUGACAAAUGUUAGAAGUUACUUAUUCUAGAAAAAGUGGGGCAGGAUCAGGGCUCUGUGGGCUCUGGGAAGAGUGCUGUGCUUGAGUCUUUAACAGUGCACAAAGGACAGACCCUGGGGAGCAGGUGACACUGGGGUGCAUUAGCUGGGGAGGCCCUGGGAGAAGAGAUUUCCUGGAGCAGGGUGAGGGUGGAGGCUCUGCUGAUGCUGGAACAGUUGAGAAAGGGCGGGAAGUGACAGCCAGCCAGGGGAAAGGACCAGGCUGGGUGGAUCUUGUAGGGCCCUGUGGCUUUUUCUCCAGUGGAGAGGAAGCCAUUGGAGGGUUCCGAGUAGAGGACGGUUAUAACCCUGGCAACUUCAGAGGAUCCCUCUGGCUGCCAUGUGAGGAUGGAUGAGAGGUGAGCAAUGGGGGAGAGGAGGGGUAGUUUGAAGGGAUUGAGGUGGUUUUAUUUCAACAAUAGUAGCAAUCCAAUUUAUUGUGAUAAGUGCAAUAAACACAAAACACUAUGAAAACACACAAGAAUAGCACUUGAUUCGGAAAAGGGAGUCAAGAUUUCUAGAGGAAGUGGCUUCCUGGCUGGGAUAUUCAUGAGGGGUGGAAUUGACCAGGUGUGGAAAUGGGCACCAUAGGGGAAGCUGUCACAGGCACGAAGGGAGAGCGAGGUUCUCAUCACAGGACACAAGGGAGACUGAGUCAUUCCUCUGCUGAGAUGAGGAGGGCAGUUCACAAGGGGAACAGAGAACAAGGGCGCAAGGGCCAGAUCAGAAAGGGCUGAUGUUAUUUGCCUG